Molecule: ribosomal RNA, 443 nt
Filed under: uncultured bacterium
Lineage: Bacteria
Description: partial 16S ribosomal RNA
Rfam family: Bacterial small subunit ribosomal RNA
Source: RNAcentral
CCUACGGGAGGCAGCAGUGGGGAAUAUUGGGCAAUGGGCGCAAGCCUGACCCAGCAACGCCGCGUGAGGGAAGAAGGCUCUCCGGUUGGUAAACCCCUUUAUCAGGGACGCAACAGGCGACGGUAGUUGCUCAACAAGCAGCGGCUAACUACGUGGCAGCAGCUGCGGCAGUACGACGGUGGCAGGUGUUAUUCGGAUUUACUGGGUGUAAAGGGGGUGUAGGGGGGAGUGCAAGUCAGGUGUGAAAACUGUGGGCUCAACCCACAGCCUGCGUUUGAAACUGUACCUCUUGAGUGCUGGAGAGGCAAGCGGAAUGCUGGGUGUAGCGGUGAAAUGCGUAGAUAUCCGGAGGAACACCAGUGGCGAAGGCGGAUUGCUGGACAGUAACUGACGCUGAGGCGCGAAAGCGUGGGGAGCGAACAGGAUUAGAUACCCGAGUAGUC